UACUUCUUCAAAAAGUCUGGUUUUUGCAAGGGACAGUAGUAGGCAGUAGAAAACAGAAAUUGAUUGGCUCGUCACUGUUGCUCUACUUCCAUUUCAGGUCCAAGGAGAAAACUGUUCCACAGAGAGUUGCAAAGGGGCCAGACGCAAAUCAAGAAGGAAGAUGUUAAACUUUUGUGAUUACGACGAUUUAAACGAAAGAUGACAGAACGUGGGGGAGGGGGUAACACCGAAGUACGCAAGUGAAGCUUCAGGGAAAAGGUCCACUCCCCGAAGCAAAGGAGGGAGUGGAGAACGAACCGGUCUGGCCAAGCGACAAACCCUGAAUGCUGACCGAGCCAGGAGGGGCAGGGCCGCGGAGCCCGCGAAGUGAGACCUCGGGCAAACUGCAGGGGUGCAGCAAGGGGCAGUACGGCGGAGGAGCAGCGCUGCCACAGAGCAGAGUGUAAGGGGACACCGGAAGGGACGGAACAUCACUUCUGCCACGAUAAUGCCAGAGACAAAGUUUAUGACAGAAUUGCCUUCCUCUUGGCCUUCUCAAGUCCAUUUGGAUAUGAAUCAGUUUGUUUGCUAGCAAGGGAAGCAAAAGUGGAAAAUGAAACUCAGACUCGAUUAAUGAGAGCAACUGUGACGGCAAGUGACCUAUGCAGAGAUACAUCAAUCUCUUUGACGAAAAGAUGCUCAGGAAAACUAUUUUUCCUGGAAUUGAAAAACUGGAUCUGCUGGCAGGCAGCUCCUAAACUGAAGGUACUUAAGACCCAGGACACAAAGAGCCUGCAGCACAGGAGAAUGAGACCCAAAAGCUGUGCCAAGUCCAGCUGA
This 819-nucleotide long non-coding RNA is filed under the name Fukomys damarensis (Damara mole-rat). Its description in RNAcentral is "lncRNA (ENSFDAG00000026237.1)". The record is from RNAcentral. Lineage: Eukaryota; Metazoa; Chordata; Mammalia; Rodentia; Bathyergidae.